UUAAAUUGAGAGUUUGAUCCUGGCUCAGGACGAACGCUGGCGGCGUGCUUAACACAUGCAAGUCGAGCGAGGAAAUUCCUUCGGGGAUUUCCUAGCGGCGGACGGGUGAGUAACACGUGGGCAACCUGCCUGAUAGAGGGGGAUAGCCUCCCGAAAGGGAGAUUAAUACCGCAUAAAGUCAAAUGAAGGCAUCUUCAAAUGACCAAAGGAGUAAUCCGCUAUCAGAUGGGCCCGCGGCGCAUUAGCUAGUUGGUGAGGUAACGGCUCACCAAGGCGACGAUGCGUAGCCGACCUGAGAGGGUGAUCGGCCACAUUGGGACUGAGACACGGCCCAGACUCCUACGGGAGGCAGCAGUGGGGAAUAUUGCACAAUGGGGGAAACCCUGAUGCAGCAACGCCGCGUGAGUGAUGAAGGCCUUCGGGUUGUAAAGCUCUGUCUUCAGGGACGAUAAUGACGGUA
This 460-nucleotide ribosomal RNA is filed under the name Clostridium intestinale URNW. Its description in RNAcentral is "bacterial SSU rRNA". It matches the Rfam family "Bacterial small subunit ribosomal RNA", at positions 1 to 477 of the family's 1533-position model. Lineage: Bacteria; Bacillati; Bacillota; Clostridia; Eubacteriales; Clostridiaceae. The record is from RNAcentral.